AAAGUGCCAUCCGAAAGGCAUGGUCCUCAAAAUCUGCCUAGUCUCUCACUUCCCUCCAUAUCAAAUCUCCGAAAGAAAGCCACCAAGCCCUCACUGAAGAACGUAGAAGCCACCCAGAUUCUCGAGAUACAGAAACCCAAACUUUGGGUCACGGAUUUUACAUUGCUUGCUUGAAAAAACUUCAAAACCCUAACCCUCCCUCGACUGCACUGAAUAAUGAAGUUUAACAGCAGUUCUAGUUCAAGUUCUUCGACUUUAAGAAGAAUGGAUGAAGGUUGGUUGGAGAGACCACUUUGUCACUGUGGUCUCCCAUCAAA
Juglans regia (Persian walnut) is the source of this 317-nucleotide long non-coding RNA. RefSeq lists it as uncharacterized. Lineage: Eukaryota; Viridiplantae; Streptophyta; Magnoliopsida; Fagales; Juglandaceae. The transcript is spliced from 3 exons. The record is from RefSeq and is a predicted model, not a curated record.